Molecule: unclassified non-coding RNA, 2017 nt
Filed under: uncultured fungus
Lineage: Eukaryota; Fungi
Description: sequence contains 18S rRNA gene, ITS1, 5.8S rRNA gene, ITS2, 28S rRNA gene
Rfam family: Eukaryotic large subunit ribosomal RNA (bases 880-2017)
Source: RNAcentral
GGAAGGAUCAUUACCGGAUGUAAUAUCCAAACCUUUGGGGUUCGCUUGCCUGAAUCAUGCGGUGGGCGCUCUGCGCAAUUCCGUGGCUUGUUGAACCUAACAGUGCAUUUGCACUGGUUACUCCCUGUGCGGCAACUGUGAGGCCAAGUUUAUCUCAGGGGUAAUCGGUGCUCUUGUGCUAGUUGUUAACGGGUUUCUCUUCGGGUACCUACGCUAUGCACCCUCACAGACCAGCCCGGCUGUGUGAGUGGGGUGUAUAGCAGAAGGUUAGCCAGGCAAGAUCACGGCUAACUGUAGGUUUAAAGAGCUAGGCAUGGAGGUUUCGGAAGUUACCUCUGGGAGUCGACGCGUUGGUCUGGCGCCUACAGCAACGCACCUGUGCCGCUUCUUUGCACAGUUCGACCGCUCACACCGACGCAGCUCAGCGUCUGUCUAGCCGCCCGGAACACUUUUAAACUUCUAAGAUAUAAUCCAAAUCAUACUAUUCUAAGCGGUGGAUCACUUGGCUCGUGGGUCGAUGAAGAACGCAGCCAACUGCGUGAAUUAAUGUGAAUUGCAGACACAUUGAACAUUGACAUUUUGAACGCAUAUUGCGGAAGUGGGUUUUUCCCGCUUCCACAUCUGUCUGAGGGUGACAUACAUAUAAGCUUUGCGCGCUCUGUGAUCGGUGAGUUUCCAUCGAUUAUGGUGCUUUGGCGUGCAGGUUUGACUCGCUGCAGCUUCGGCUGUACCGGGUUUAAGAUCGAGCUGGCGGUUGCUUCUUCUUACCGCUAUCGUCUAAUUUGCGCUGCUGGUUUGCUCGUUGCAAUCCAACCUGCUGUUGCUGCUUCCUACGGCGGUUGAGUUGUAGCUGAAAUGGGCUGUACCACGCGUACUGUUUCACCUCAGAUCAGGUGUGACUACCCGCUGAAUUUAAGCAUAUUAUUAAGCGGAGGAAAAGAAACUAACAAGGACUCCCCUAGUAAUGGCGAAUGAACGGGGAAGAGCCCAGCACCGAAUCCCGCAGUGUUUCACUGUCGGGAACUGUGGUGUUUAGGCAAGCCUUUCCGGCAUUUCGAGGCAGUCAAAGUCCCCUUGAGGGGGGCCAUGGCCCAUAGCGGGUGCAAGGCCCAUACGACGUCUCUUGUGUCGGUUGGAGCUGCCGUGGAGUCGGGUUGCUUGAGAGUGCAGCCCAAAGUGGGUGGUAAACCCCAUCUAAGGCUACAUAUAACCACGAGACCGAUAGCAAACAAGUACCGUGAGGGAAAGUUGCAAAGAACUUUGAAGAGAGAGUUCAAAGGGCGUGAAACCGCUUAGAAGUAAACGGGUGGAGCUGCCAUUACGUCUACUGGAUUCAGCUUGUCGGUAGCAGACUGCUUUCUCUUGAUCGCAAGACAGGAGUGUGGUUCUGGUUUGUUGCCGGCGGGUGCAUUUUCGGUAGAAGUGCGCCACGACCAACUGGAACGUCAGCUAAAGGCCGGAGUGAUUGCCGUCUGUGAGCUUGCUUGCAGUGCCCCGUCCUCCGAGUCGGCUAGAUUGGUCCGGUUGAGUAAACGACCGCACCCGCUGUCACAGGUUGUCUGGUUUGGGGUCGCCGAAUGCCUAGCUGUGCACGCACGGCUGGGUGUACCCUGGUUUCAAAGCCGGAUAAUGCUGAGAUGGUGCAUAUGGUCAGUGGCGUCCGUGUCAGCCAACCACCCGACCCGUCUUGAAACACGGACCAAGGAGUCUAACAUGUGCGCAAGUCAUUGGGUUGCAAAACCUAAAGGCGUAAUAAAAGUGAAGGUUAGCUUCCGCUAGCUUAGGUGGGAUUCUUGGCUUGUCCGAGACGCACCACCGUCCCAUCGCAUCUGCUUGCCAGAGCGGUGGAGAAAGAGCGUACACGUUGGGACCCGAAAGAUGGUGAACUAUGCCUGAGCAGGAUGAAGCCAGAGGAAACUCUGGUGGAGGUCCGUAGCGGUUCUGACGUGCAAAUCGAUCGUCAGACUUGGGUAUAGGGGCGAAAGACUAAUCGAACCAUCUAGUAGCUGGUUCCCUC